UGGGGAAUAUUGCACAAUGGGGGAAACCCUGAUGCAGCAACGCCGCGUGAAGGAAGACGGUUUUCGGAUUGUAAACUUCUUUUCUUAGUGAAGAAGCAAGUGACGGUAGCUAAGGAAUAAGCAUCGGCUAACUACGUGCCUGCAGCCGCGGUAAUACGUAGGAUGCGAGCGUUAUCCGGAAUUACUGGGUGUAAAGGGAGCGCAGGCGGGACUGCAAGUUGGAUGUGAAAUACCGCAGCUUAACUGCGGAGCUGCAUCCAAAACUGUAGUUCUUGAGUGGAGUAGAGGCAAGCGGAAUUCCGAGUGUAGCGGUGAAAUGCGUAGAUAUUCGGAGGAACACCAGUGGCGAAGGCGGCUUGCUGGGCUCUAACUGACGCUGAGGCUCGAAAGUGUGGGGAGCAAACAGGAUUAGAUACCC
RNAcentral lists this ribosomal RNA (418 nucleotides) under uncultured bacterium. RNAcentral describes it as "bacterial SSU rRNA". It matches the Rfam family "Bacterial small subunit ribosomal RNA", at positions 355 to 787 of the family's 1533-position model. The record is from RNAcentral.